CUUCAGCGAGCCGAGCCACAGCGGCUUCUGCGGAUCCCGGCCCUGUCCGUACGUCGCGAGGAGCGCCUGCGCCUC
Molecule: non-coding RNA, 75 nt
Organism: Streptomyces yokosukanensis
Lineage: Bacteria; Bacillati; Actinomycetota; Actinomycetes; Kitasatosporales; Streptomycetaceae
Rfam family: ASpks TB sRNA
Source: Rfam